UUGGAGGGCAAGUCUGGUGCCAGCAGCCGCGGUAAUUCCAGCUCCAAUAGCGUAUAUUAAAGUUGUUGCAGUUAAAAAGCUCGUAGUUGAAUUUCGGGAUCAAUAUGUUGGUCGUGCCUUGGUACGUACUAAUUUAUUGGUUUCUUCCUUCUGGCGAACCAUGAUGUCAUUAAUUUGGUGUCUUGGGGAAUCAGGACUGUUACUUUGAAAAAAUUAGAGUGUUUAAAGCAGGCUCACGCUUGAAUACAUUAGCAUGGAAUAAUGAAAUAGGACGUUUGAUUCUAUUUUGUUGGUUUCUAGGAUCGACGUAAUGAUUAAUAGGGAUAGUUGGGGGCAUUAGUAUUCAAUUGUCAGAGGUGAAAUUCUUGGAUUUAUUGAAGACUAACUACUGCGAAAGCAUUUGCCAAGGAUGUUUUCAUUAAUCAAGAACGAAAGUUAGGGGAUCGAAGACGAUCAGAUACCGUCGUAGUCUUAACCACAAACUAUACCGACUAGGGAUCGGAUGAUGUUAAUUUUUUAAUGACUCAUUCGGCGCCUUACGGGAAAC
RNAcentral lists this ribosomal RNA (547 nucleotides) under uncultured Glomeromycotina. RNAcentral's name for it is "SSU rRNA". It matches the Rfam family "Eukaryotic small subunit ribosomal RNA", at positions 548 to 1098 of the family's 1831-position model. The record is from RNAcentral. Lineage: Eukaryota; Fungi; Glomeromycota.